Molecule: ribosomal RNA, 794 nt
Filed under: uncultured bacterium
Lineage: Bacteria
Description: bacterial SSU rRNA
Rfam family: Bacterial small subunit ribosomal RNA
Source: RNAcentral
AGAGUUUGAUCCUGGCUCAGAUUGAACGCUGGCGGCACGCCUAACACAUGCAAGUCGAGCGGCAGCGNNNUCAGUAGCAAUACUGAUUGGCGGCGAGCGGCGGACGGGUGAGUAACACGUAGGAACCUGCCCAGAAGUGGGGGAUAACUAAUGGAAACGUUAGCUAAUACCGCAUACAUUCGGGAGAAGAAAGCUGCAGCAAUGUGGCGCUUUUGGAGGGGCCUGCGUCCGAUUAGCUAGUUGGUGAGGUAAUAGCUUACCAAGGCGAUGAUCGGUAACUGGUCUGAGAGGACGACCAGUCACACUGGGACUGAGACACGGCCCAGACUCCUACGGGAGGCAGCAGUGGGGAAUCUUGGACAAUGGGGGCAACCCUGAUCCAGCGAUGCCGCGUGAGUGAAGAAGGCCUUCGGGUCGUAAAGCUCUUUAGGCUGGGAAGAAGGUUAGGAGAGGAAAUGCUUUUAACUUGACGGUACCAGCAGAAUAAGCACCGGCAAACUCUGUGCCAGCAGCCGCGGUAAUACAGAGGGUGCGAGCGUUAAUCGGAGUUACUGGGCGUAAAGGGCGCGUAGGCGGUUAAGCGAGUGUGAUGUGAAAGCCCCGGGCUUAACCUGGGAAGUGCAUCGCAAACGGCUAAACUAGAGUAGAUGAGAGGGUGAUGGAAUUUCCGGUGUAGCGGUGAAAUGCGUAGAGAUCGGAAGGAACGUCGAUGGCGAAGGCAGUCACCUGGCAUCAUACUGACGCUGAGGCGCGAAAGCGUGGGGAGCAAACAGGAUUAGAUACCCUCGUAGUCC